This 440-nucleotide ribosomal RNA is filed under the name uncultured bacterium. RNAcentral describes it as "partial 16S ribosomal RNA". It matches the Rfam family "Bacterial small subunit ribosomal RNA", at positions 338 to 795 of the family's 1533-position model. The record is from RNAcentral.
CCUACGGGAGGCAGCAGUGGGGAAUAUUGCACAAUGGGGGAAACCCUGAUGCAGCGACGCCGCGUGAGUGAAGAAGUAUUUCGGUAUGUAAAGCUCUGUCAGCAGGGAAGAAAAUGACGGUACAUGACCAAGAAGCCCCAGCUAACUACGUGCCAGCAGCCGCGGUAAUACGUAGGGGACAAGCGUUAUCCGGAUUUACUGGGUGUAAAGGGAGCGUAGACGGCAGGGCAAGUCUGGAGUGAAAGGCGGGGGCUCAACCCCCGGACUGCUCGGGAAACUGCCAGGCUGGAGUGCAGGAGAGGUAAGUGGAAUUCCUAGUGUAGCGGUGAAAUGCGUAGAUAUUAGGAGGAACACCAGUGGCGAAGGCGGCUUACUGGACUGUAACUGACGUUGAGGCUCGAAAGCGUGGGGAGCAAACAGGAUUAGAUACCCCAGUAGUC